Long non-coding RNA from Oreochromis aureus, 2458 nucleotides. NCBI's taxonomy places the organism in Eukaryota, Metazoa, Chordata, Actinopteri, Cichliformes, Cichlidae. The record is from Ensembl.
UCCAGUCACAUGUCUGAAGGUGGGUCUAAAAUGCAGGUUGUUGACGGAAAUGGCUCUGAUGCGGCUAGUUAGCUGUGGUAACUGCUGAUAAUCACAUGGCUACCGGCUACCGGCGAAAAUAACGGAGGAAAUCGGGACGAGGCCGAGAACGUGACCGAGGUCAGAGGAGAGCUGGGGACCAAUGUCACUCUAACCUGCUCCAAUCAGACAUCAGGCACACACUGGUACAUGGAGAUCUACAGCCAGUUCAGAGCAUGUGUCAGCUGCCAGAUUUCUUCAACACAUUUUACCUACAACUCUCCUGAUUUUGAAACCAAAUUUUCACUCCUGGGAAACAAACUCAUGAUUAAAAACUUCAGUGCAGGAGACUGCAGGCUUUACUUCUGUGGCAUCAACAGAAAUGACAGCAUUCAUUUUGUGGAGACUUUCCGUCUCGUCUCAGUUUUUCUUUCUCCAGAUAUCUUUCCAACCUCUGAGUCAGACCCUCAGCAGCAGAGCAGCUCCAUAUCACAGCAUCACCUCCUCAUCAUAUACCGCUCAGCCUUCCUCAUUACUGCCAUCACCCUUGUCAUACUGGUUGUGGUUUUUACGUCUCUGUGGGUGAAGAGAAAAUCUCUCCAGGUGCGCAGCCCUCGACCUGUGACCAGUUGGAUUGCAGAGACUGUGCAGAGUGCCCAGGCUGAAUUCAAGGAAGUCUGAAGCAGUUCAGUGAUCAGCAUUAACAGCAGAGUACCAUUCGUAAUGUGAAAUUCAGUUCCAGAAAAACUGAGUCUGAAAGCUCCGUGUCAGAUUCCUGCUGCAGACGUCAGGCUGGAGAGGCCGAGAACGUGACCGAGGUCAGAGGAGAGCUGGGGACCAAUGUCACUCUAACCUGCUCCAAUCAGACAUCAGACAGAUACUGGUACAUGGAGAUCCACAGUCAGUUCAGAGCAGAUAUCCCUACAACCCCUGACCCUGAUAGUGAAGUGUUGCAGAGGAACACUAUCCUCGUCAGCUCAUUGAGCCUGAACGUUGUGCUCAUUUUAGUAAUCUGUCUGAGUUGUGUAUGGCUGUCUCUGAAGAGGGGAAUCAGCAAGAAUCAGGCAAACCUCCCUCCAGCUGGGACCAGUGAGGGGCUGGAGACUCCACAGUACGAGGAGAUCCAGUUCCCCCCUCCAUCUGCUGCUCCGCUUCAAGAGUGCAUUUACUACAGAAUUCAGCGUCCUCGCUCCACACUACCUCAAAGCUGAUGGACACACCUGUACAGGUGGAUGAUACCUGCUGGAUUCAGAUUUUGGGGACAGAGGUCAGUCUGAUAACUGAAGACUUGCUGCUCCUCUGCUCGUGGGAGGAUUUCUUUUUCCUCCUGUCUGGUUUGAGUUGUUGGACCAAAAGAAUGUUAAGUUCUGAAUGAAGAUUUUCCACAAACUUGACAAAACUGCUGUAAGAUUAGUUUUAGUCAGGCACAAUCUGCUCUGCCUCUGAGCUGAGAUGGACCCAAGAAUGUGACAACCCUUUAGCCAAACCUGCUUUAAGGUGCCUCAGGAUUUAAAACCAUAACUCAAUGCUGCUGUGAAAACCUGUAAAUCUGAGACUCAACAUUUAAUAUUUAUUUAUUCUCCUGUUGUUUGUAUCUGUUUAUCAGUUUUUAUUGCUGUUUGUCAGAUGUUCGGUUGUUUAUGCUGUUUUGAAAGCACUGAUUUUAAACACGGUCACAUUUCCUAAAAAGGCAGCACGAUGAUUAAGUAUGACAACAGAAUGCUGUGUUUUACAAUUAAAUGUCAAAUAGAACUGAAACUAGGACAAAGACAAAAUAUCACAUGAUUGUGAGAAAUGUGAUUUUUGAAAGACUUCCUUUUUAAAAAAAAAAAUGUUGCAGCAUCAAAUUUUAUAAAUGUUGUGAGAGUUGCAACAAAAGUCUGGAAAAGUUGUCAAAUUUACUGAGCCAUCCAUUUCCCUCUACUUGUUGAUUUUAGGGCCGCUGGAGUCUAUACCAGCUGUCAUAGGGCUAAGGGAGGGGUACACAUGGACAGAUCACCAGUCUGUCACUAUAACAUGUGAAAAAAUUAAAUGUGUUUUUUUUUUAAAAGCAUCCCUGGUAAACAGGGAAAGGUUUCCAGAAAGACUUUGUUCACAAAUAACUCAUUCAUCCACAUUAAUAACCUCAGUUUGAACAUUUGAUCUGUUCUCUGUGAGCUGUUUAUUUUAAAAUCUAGGAUAUAAGGUCUUUGCAAAUUAUUGCAUAAUAGGUUUGUGUGAGUCUUAGACUAUGUAAAAGAACUUUCAACAUAUCUGUGUGUGAAACUACACUGUGAACAUUUUCAGUUUGAUUACAGCAUUUAUUUUUGGUUUAGGCAUUCAUGUAGUUAUUAAAUAGAACUUGAAUUCACACCAGUGAUUUGUUUGUUUGAAAGAGAAAAUGCGGUUUGAAGUAUUUCUUUGUAAUGUUUAAUAUGAAUCCAUUAAACAUUUGACAACA